This 424-nucleotide ribosomal RNA is filed under the name uncultured delta proteobacterium. Its description in RNAcentral is "bacterial SSU rRNA". It matches the Rfam family "Bacterial small subunit ribosomal RNA", at positions 9 to 426 of the family's 1533-position model. The record is from RNAcentral. Lineage: Bacteria; Deltaproteobacteria.
GAGUUUGAUCCUGGCUCAGAGCGAACGUUAGCGGCGGGCCUAACACAUGCAAGUCGAACGGGCAGUAGCAAUACUGUCAGUGGCGCACGGGUGAGUAACGCGUAGAUAAUCUACCUUCCAGCGGGGGAUAACGUUCCGAAAGGAACGCUAAUACCGCAUAAGACCACGGGUUCUUCGGGGCCUGCGGGAAAAGGUGGCCUCUCCUUGGAAGCUAUCACUGGAAGAUGAGUCUGCGUCCCAUCAGCUAGUUGGUGAGGUAAUGGCUCACCAAGGCAAAGACGGGUAGCUGGUCUGAGAGGAUGAUCAGCCACACUGGUACUGGAACACGGACCAGACUCCUACGGGAGGCAGCAGUGGGGAAUAUUGGACAAUGGGGGCAACCCUGAUCCAGCCAUGCCGCGUGAGUGAAGAAGGCCUCGGUUGU